CUGCUUCUCGGCGCCAUUUUGUCUAGGCAGCGGUGGCCGCAGCUCUAUCGCAUUUUAUGUUUCUGGUGGCGCAAGAGCCGACUGUUCGUCCCCUGAAUUCACUUUGGCGCAGCAGCCAUUCACAGUUCCCUCCAGGACAGCACCUGGUGAAGGUCGGAAGGAUCGCGGACCUACCAAAAAGUUUUGCUGAAGAAAACAGGAUAUAUCCGUGACAGAUAUCUGAAAAUAAUCCUGAGUAAGAAUGUAUCUGAAGAAACAUAAGGCCCAUCAUUACAGGCUUUAGACCCAGACCAGGCCUAAGUUUCAGGAGGCAGUUCCUGCAAGUCAGGCCACCCAGCUCUGACUAAUCAAGAACCAACACCAUAAAGUGAUUCCUUCAGCCAAUCUGGGUGCUGUAGCCCACCAUAAGGUGAUUCCCUCAGCCAACCUGAGGACUGUACAUCGACAUGAAGAAAUAUCAUCCACUCCCCUCGUUGGAGGAUGAGAAUUCCCCAGACCCUCAAUAAAAACUCUGUGUAACUGAUGCUCGGGACUCCCUACCACUACCGCUGUGAAGGUAGGAGUCUUGAGCCCAGGCUAAAGCUUGCAAUAAAGGACCCUCAUGUUUUUGCAUCGCAUCGAUACUCUGGUUUGUGGGACCUGAAUAUCUGGGCACAACAUUUGGGGGCUCAUCUAGGAUCCCUCAAGUCCCAGAUUAUCCGAUUUGGAGGGUUUCUUUUCCCUUCUUCUGUUCCUCGAUAAGUGUGUUCCUCUCUGAAUAUGGUACCGUUUCUCUGCAUAGUGGGUCAGCAGGAGGCGUAGGCUGAUGCGUUGGUAGGCUGCCAACCGGGGGUUACAGAAGAUGUUCGGGACUGCCCAGAAGUAGAUUUCUUUAUCGACACUGAUUGAUAAAUGUCAGAAUAGUGCCUUAGAUUCAUCUUUUGUGGAACU
Condylura cristata (star-nosed mole) is the source of this 930-nucleotide long non-coding RNA. RefSeq lists it as uncharacterized. The record is from RefSeq and is a predicted model, not a curated record. The transcript is spliced from 3 exons. NCBI's taxonomy places the organism in Eukaryota, Metazoa, Chordata, Mammalia, Eulipotyphla, Talpidae.